AGAGUUUGAUCCUGGCUCAGAACGAACGCUGGCGGCAGGCUUAACACAUGCAAGUCGAACGAGUAAGAGCCGUAGCAAUACGGAGUUCUGCUAGUGGCGCACGGGUGAGUAACGCGUGGGAAUAUGCCCUUUAGUACGGAAUAACAGUUGGAAACGACUGCUAAUACCGUAUACGCCCUUCGGGGGAAAGAUUUAUCGCUAAAGGAUUAGCCCGCGUGAGAUUAGGUAGUUGGUGGGGUAAUGGCCUACCAAGCCUACGAUCUCUAGCCGGUCUGAGAGGACGAUCGGCCACACUGGAACUGAGACACGGUCCAGACUCCUACGGGAGGCAGCAGUGGGGAAUAUUGGACAAUGGGCGAAAGCCUGAUCCAGCCAUGCCGCGUGAGUGAUGAAGGCCUUAGGGUUGUAAAGCUCUUUUGUCAGGGAAGAUAUUGACGGUACCUGAAGAAUAAGCACCGGCUAACUUCGUGCCAGCAGCCGCGGUAAUACGAAGGGUGCUAGCGUUGUUCGGAAUUACUGGGCGUAAAGCGCGCGCAGGCGGUCUAUCAAGUCAGAGGUGAAAUGCCGAAGCCCAACUUCGGAACUGCCUUUGAAACUGUUAGACUAGAAUAUGGGAGGGGAUAGCGGAAUUCCUAAUGUAGAGGUGAAAUUCGUAGAUAUUAGGAGGAACACCGGUGGCGAAGGCGGCUAUCUGGCCCAUUAUCGACGCUGAGGCGCGAAAGCGUGGGGAUCAAACAGGAUUAGAUACCCUGGUAGUCCACGCUGUAAACGAUGAGUGCUAGCUGUUGGGACCUUAGGUCUCAGUGGCGCAGCUAACGCAUUAAGCACUCCGCCUGGGGAGUACGGUCGCAAGAUUAAAACUCAAAGGAAUUGACGGGGACCCGCACAAGCGGUGGAGCAUGUGGUUUAAUUCGAGGCAACGCGAAGAACCUUACCAGGACUUGACAUGUCCAGUUUGGAUCUCAGAAAUGAUUUCCUUCAGUUUGGCUGGCUGGAACACAGGUGCUGCAUGGCUGUCGUCAGCUCGUGUCGUGAGAUGUUGGGUUAAGUCCCGCAACGAGCGCAACCCUCAUCUUUAGUUGCUACCAUUUAGUUGAGCACUCUAAAGAAACUGCCGGUGAUAAGCCGGAGGAAGGUGGGGAUGACGUCAAGUCUUCAUGGCCCUUAUGUCCUGGGCUACACACGUGCUACAAUGGCAGUGACAAUGCGCCGCUACCUCGCGAGGGGAAGCUAAUCGCAAAAAGCUGUCUCAGUUCGGAUUGUACUCUGCAACUCGAGUGCAUGAAGUUGGAAUCGCUAGUAAUCGCGCAUCAGCAUGGCGCGGUGAAUACGUUCCCGGGUCUUGUACACACCGCCCGUCACACCAUGGGAGUUGGUUCUACCUUAAGCUGCUGUGCUAACCGCAAGGAGGCAGGCAACCACGGUAGGGUCAGUGACUGGGGUGAAGUCGUAACAAGGUA
RNAcentral lists this ribosomal RNA (1460 nucleotides) under metagenome. Its description in RNAcentral is "bacterial SSU rRNA". It matches the Rfam family "Bacterial small subunit ribosomal RNA". The record is from RNAcentral.